Molecule: microRNA precursor, 122 nt
Filed under: Marmota monax (woodchuck)
Lineage: Eukaryota; Metazoa; Chordata; Mammalia; Rodentia; Sciuridae
Rfam family: mir-584 microRNA precursor family
Source: RNAcentral
UAGGAUGACCAACUGUCCCGGUUUGCCUAAGACUCAGAGGUUUUCUGGGAUGUAAAAACAAUGUACUAAAUGUACUAAAACAAUCCUGGGCAAACUGGGACAGUUGGUCACCCUAACAAGGA